UAAUAAGUGUUUUUAUGGCACUUUUUAAAUCCAUAUACCACGCCUUGUGUGCAAUGUCGAGUCGAUCCUUCUUCAUGGAGGAUCGGACCAAGCAUCAACCUUUAUCUUUUUAACUCUUUGUCUGAAAAAUAAUAUGAAUAAACAUUCUAAAAUA
This 154-nucleotide unclassified non-coding RNA is filed under the name soil metagenome. Its description in RNAcentral is "partial internal transcribed spacer 1". The record is from RNAcentral.